This is a long non-coding RNA of Panicum virgatum (switchgrass), 167 nucleotides long. RefSeq lists it as uncharacterized. The record is from RefSeq and is a predicted model, not a curated record. The transcript is spliced from 3 exons. Lineage: Eukaryota; Viridiplantae; Streptophyta; Magnoliopsida; Poales; Poaceae.
CCGCAUAGAUGCAUUCUUGAAACAAAAGUUUCCUGGAGAGGAUUGGAUAACCAAAAUGGUGGCAUCAAAAAAUGAUAAUGUGAGAAGGCCUAAGAUCUCAACUCCAAGACGUGCAUGACAACUUGGUGAUUUGCAUUCUUCGACAAAAGAUCUCAUGGACUGAAGAU